Molecule: ribosomal RNA, 468 nt
Filed under: uncultured bacterium
Lineage: Bacteria
Description: partial 16S ribosomal RNA
Rfam family: Bacterial small subunit ribosomal RNA
Source: RNAcentral
GACGAACGCUGGCGGCGUGCUUAACACAUGCAAGUCGAACGGAAAGGCCCUGCUUUUGUGGGGUGCUCGAGUGGCGAACGGGUGAGUAACACGUGAGUAACCUGCCCUUGACUUUGGGAUAACUUCAGGAAACUGGGGCUAAUACCGGAUAUGAGCUCCUGCUGCAUGGUGGGGGUUGGAAAGUUUCGGCGGUUGGGGAUGGACUCGCGGCUUAUCAGCUUGUUGGUGGGGUAGUGGCUUACCAAGGCUUUGACGGGUAGCCGGCCUGAGAGGGUGACCGGCCACAUUGGGACUGAGAGACGGCCCAGAAUCCUACGGGAGGCAGCAGUGGGGAAUAUUGCACAAUGGGCGGAAGCCUGAUGCAGAAACGCCGCGUGCGGGAUGACGGCCUUCGGGUUGUAAACCGCUUUCGCCUGUGACGAAGCGUGAGUGACGGUAAUGGGUAAAGAAGCACCGGCUAACUACGUG